This 439-nucleotide ribosomal RNA is filed under the name uncultured bacterium. Its description in RNAcentral is "partial 16S ribosomal RNA". It matches the Rfam family "Bacterial small subunit ribosomal RNA", at positions 339 to 795 of the family's 1533-position model. The record is from RNAcentral.
CUACGGGGUGCAGCAGUGAGGAAUAUUGCACAAUGGGGGGAACCCUGAUGCAGCAACGCCGCGUGGAGGAUGACGCAUUUCGGUGUGUAAACUCCUUUUAUAUGUCAAGAAAAUGACGGUAGCAUAUGAAUAAGCACCGGCUAACUCCGUGCCAGCAGCCGCGGUAAUACGGAGGGUGCAAGCGUUACUCGGAAUCACUGGACGUAAAGGACGCGUAGGCGGGUUGGAAAGUCAGGUGUGAAAUCCUACAGCUUAACUGUAGAACUGCACUUGAAACUUCUAAUCCAGAGUAUGGGAGGGGGAGAUGGAAUUAGUGGUGUAGGGGUAAAAUCCGUAGAUAUCACUAGGAAUACCUAAAGCGAAGGCGAUCUCCUGGAACAUUACUGACGCUAAGGCGUGAAAGCGUGGGGAGCAAACAGGAUUAGAUACCCGAGUAGUC